UACGUAGGGGGCAAGCGUUGUCCGGAUUUAUUGGGCGUAAAGAGCGUGUAGGCGGCCAGACAGGUCAGCUGUGAAAACUCGAGGCUCAACCUCGAGACGUCGGUUGAAACCGUCGGGCUAGAGUCCGGAAGAGGAGAGUGGAAUUCCCGGUGUAGCGGUGAAAUGCGCAGAUAUCGGGAAGAACACCCGUGGCGAAGGCGGCUCUCUGGGACGGUACUGACGCUGAGACGCGAAAGCGUGGGGAGCGAACAGG
RNAcentral lists this ribosomal RNA (253 nucleotides) under uncultured bacterium. RNAcentral describes it as "partial 16S ribosomal RNA". It matches the Rfam family "Bacterial small subunit ribosomal RNA", at positions 524 to 776 of the family's 1533-position model. The record is from RNAcentral.